RNAcentral lists this ribosomal RNA (465 nucleotides) under uncultured bacterium. RNAcentral describes it as "partial 16S ribosomal RNA". It matches the Rfam family "Bacterial small subunit ribosomal RNA", at positions 28 to 507 of the family's 1533-position model. The record is from RNAcentral.
GAUGAACGCUAGCGGCGUGCUUAACACAUGCAAGUCGAACGGAAAGGUCCCUGCUUGUAGGGGUACUCGAGUUGCGAACGGGUGAGUAGCACGUGGGUGAUCUGUACUGCACUUCGGGAGAAGCUUGGGAAACUGGGUCUAUUAGCGGAUAGGACUACUUGCUGGAUGGUGUGGUGGCGAGUUUUUCGGUGUGGGGUGAGCUCGGGGCCUAUCAGCUUGGUGGUGGGGUAAUGGCCUACCAAGGCGUCGACGGGCAGCCGGCCUGAGAGGGUGCACGGCCACAUUGGGACUGAGAUACGACCCAGACUCCUACGGGAGGCAGCAGUGGGGAAGAGUGCACAAUGGGCGCAAGCCUAGUGCAGCGAAGCCGCGUGGGGGGUGACGGCCUUCGGGUUGUAAACUACUUUCGCUAGAGACGAAGCGCAAGUGACGGUACCUGGAGAAGAAGCACCGGCUAACUACGUG